RNAcentral lists this ribosomal RNA (268 nucleotides) under uncultured Rhizobiaceae bacterium. RNAcentral's name for it is "partial 16S ribosomal RNA". It matches the Rfam family "Bacterial small subunit ribosomal RNA", at positions 1114 to 1382 of the family's 1533-position model. The record is from RNAcentral. Lineage: Bacteria; Pseudomonadati; Pseudomonadota; Alphaproteobacteria; Hyphomicrobiales; Rhizobiaceae.
GUUGCAGCAUUAGUUGGGCACGUCUAAGGGGACUGCCGGUGAUAAGCCGAGAGGAAGGUGGGGAGUGACGGUCAAGUCCUCAUGGCCCUUACGGGCUGGGCUACACACGUGCUACAAUGGUGGUGACAGUGGGCAGCGAGCACGCGAGUGUGAGCUAAUCUCCAAAAGCCAUCUCAGUUCGGAUUGCACUCUGCAACUCGAGUGCAUGAAGUUGGAAUCGCUAGUAAUCGCGGAUCAGCAUGCCGCGGUGAAUACGUUCCCGGGCCUU